RNAcentral lists this unclassified non-coding RNA (6772 nucleotides) under Limulus polyphemus (Atlantic horseshoe crab). Its description in RNAcentral is "zinc finger protein 236-like, transcript variant X4". The record is from RNAcentral. Lineage: Eukaryota; Metazoa; Arthropoda; Merostomata; Xiphosura; Limulidae.
CAGACCUUUGAAUGACCAAGGAAGUCUACAAAGUAACGUAACUACCUCUAUAGAGAAGAGCAUGGAUUCAGAAGAUCCAAAACAUGAAGCUGCUUGCUGUUUGCUUAAUCUCUCUUCUAUGCCUACUUUAACGACUGAAACGUAUAGUGAGAAAGAAAAACCAAAAGAUGUCUUAACAAUUCCACUCCAGGAAUCUUUACAUAUUCAGCUAACAGAACCUUCUGUUGAUGAAGAUCAUGCUUCCCAGUAUUUAACUGUACAAGAUGAUGCUGUUCCUGCUGACAGUUUGUUGCUAAGACCACCAUUAUCACAUAGGUCUCGAUCAUCCUCAGUUCACAUUCCUUUAUCACCAGGUAAAAAGGUAACUGCAAUGGCCCUGGCUGAAAAUCAAACUGCUAGCCGGGACAUUUCUUUACCAAGGGAGUCAGUUGCAAGUCGUCGUUAUUCCUUCUCUGUUAUCAGAGAUUUGAAGCAAAACAAGGAUUUAUCACAAAACGAGGAUUUAAGCCAUAGUUCGAAUAGUGAACAAAUUAUUUCCAAAAGUGAAGAUCAGGAUCACUGCUUGGUUUUUCCAGCCAUGUCCUUAUCUGUUCCUUCAAACAGUGAGGAUGAAACAUCUAUGUCAGGGAUAGACCAACCAAUGGAUCUUAGUGUUACACGAGACAUGAAGGUUGAUCCAAACGUUUCUGCAGACAGUCAUCCUGAGGAACUAGUAGAACCAAUAGAUAGCUUGCUUGGGGCUUGUCUUCAGUAUGGUAGCCUGACUGCUCUGAAGACUGGAGGCUUGCCCUUGAUGUUAAAUACAUCUGGAUUAAAACGAAGAUCACAGUCUCCAUGGGAACUUCAGCAACAGACUGGUUCUAGACAGUCAGUAGAUGACAGUGUACUACAUUUAUCUCCAGUGACAUCUCCAUCACCAGAUCAUAUACCCUCAAAGAGUAUCCUCCAUGAUGACCAGUAUCCAAUUUCUUCUAGACCUCAGGCUGAAUUUAUUGUUGCUAAGUCAGGGUGUGGACAGAACCUGGAUGAUGGGAAGUGUGUAUGUGACAUUUGUAAUAAAACGUUCACCAAACCCAGUCAGCUACGGUUGCAUCUAAAUAUUCACUACUUUGAAAGGCCUUUCCGCUGUGACAGCUGUGUGGUCUCAUUUCGCACCAAAGGGCAUCUACAGAAACACAAGCGUUCUGUGAGCCACUACAACAAAGUUAAUAUGAACCAAACAUUUGGAACCCCAACUGCAGAUAAUCCUCGCCCAUUUAAGUGUAGUGAUUGUAAAAUAGCCUUUCGAAUUCAUGGACACUUAGCCAAACAUCUUCGAUCUAAAAUGCAUAUUAUGAAGUUAGAGUGUUUAGGAAGACUCCCUUUUGGAAUGUAUGCAGAGAUGGAACGGUCUGGGACAAAUCUGAAUGAGAUAGAUACAACUGACUGUGACAGUUCCCUUGAGAGCCUGCAGCUUAUUGCUCAAAGGCUUUACCGCCAAGAGCCUAGGCAAGUUGUAUGGCAGGGGGAUAAUGUUAUUGGAGGUGCCGAGUCCCCUGAUCAUUCUCUAAGCUCCCCAGAGUCUAUUGCUUUGUCAUUAAGCCAAAAUAAACUGGCAGCCACAAAGACUGUUAAUUUUCAAGUAAAACAGGAACUGGACAAUGUUAUUGAAAAUCCAGGUCAUUCACACCAAGACAACAGCAAUUCUCUCUCAGUGGACAUAGAUAAAGAAGUGAAUCAUUGUUCAGGGCAGAAUGUAAAACCUCAACCUUUGUCCUGCCCACUUUGUGGUCAGUCUUUUGUGAGUGCCAAAGCCUUAAGAGUACACACAUAUUCUCAUCAUGCCCAGUGGUCAACAGAUGAGGCCACCAACUUUACUGAAAUAGAACUUGCAUUACCAGAUCCUUGUGGUGAAACUCCUCAAACACUUCAGAAGUUUGCCAGUGUACAAGAUAACGUAAAAAAACAUUUUAAUUUGUGAUGCAUACAGUGAUGAAUGUGCCAGUCUCCAACAGCAGGCAGCUGUUUUUUUUGCCAAGCUUGUGGGAAAGUGUGUGUGUAGCAGCUGAAGAGCUAGAGGGACAUGUCAAGACACAUCACAGAGACAGAACCCAGUCUGAAGAUUUUCAUGUGCUCAAGUGAUGUUCUGUGUUUUAACCGGUGAACUUAGAUUAUUGUACAUAGAUGUUGUCCAUGAGAUGUGGUUGAUGUAUGAGUGUUAAUGUAGCAGAAAUCUUUUAUAUACAACAAAAACUUGGUUACAUUAUCUUACUGGUAGUGGUGUCUCCUUCUCAGGUAAAAUACACCUGGGGGUUUUGUUGUUUUUUUUUUACCAGAUUAUUGUAAACUACAUUUCUCUAUAUAAUAGAAGUGCCAUUACAGGAAAUAUAUAUGUUUGUAUUUUUGUAGAGACAAGUAGAUAUCUCUGAUAAGUGUUUAUGAAUAGUAAAGUAAUAUUUUUGUUUUUGUUGAAUCUGUUAGAAAACUCCAUAACUUGUUGAUUCAUGGUGUUGUGGCCAUCAUCUUACAGUUAGUACAUUGUAGCUAUUUUAAAGAUUUAUAUGAGGGUUGGAUAUUGUUGGUUGUUAAUUGUCAUUGAAGAUCAGUUGUUACUUCAUCAUUCAGAUGGUUCAAAACCUACAACACAUUUUUUUGUUUUAUUAUGUUUUGUGCUUUUUAUUUGUGCAUUUAAAAUGCUUCUUUGUGGUUAAGUAAAAUCAUAACAUUUUGUUCUCAUGAUCAUUGUGUCAAUAGCACAUUUUUUACAGUUUAAAAGUGAACUUUUUUAAGUACAUUCAGAUCCUCAUCUCAAACAAUUACCGGUAUACACCCUGUUAAUUGUUCCAGAUAGUAUGAUCAUUCUUAUUUUCACAUCUAGCAAAAUACUUAACAGUUUAAUAAAAAAACAUUUGUUAAUCAUUUAAAACCAAGGAAGAUUCAUAAGUUUUCUGUAUGAAGAUAAUUUGUACUACUUUUGAACCCUACACGUACAUUAAGUAGGUCCAAUUAACUUGUUUGCAGUUUUAUCAGUAUGUUGAAAUCUUUUGUAAAACUGAACUGGUUUGGUGAAAGGUCAAGCCCAGUUACGGACAAGAAAAAUUAUGUAUUUACUGUUUCAAGUGAAAGGAAACCUUCUCUGUAUAUCAAAUAGUGUAAUACAGUACCAUAAGUCUUAGUAAAAUAUCUAAAACAUUAGGUCGCUCAUAACUGCAACAAAAAAUUGUGAAAAGCAUUUCAAUACUCGUUAAAACUUAUGAAACUUAAACAAAAAAUAAAAUCAAAGCGAUGUAGUUACAGUAGUGUAGUGGCAGAAACUGAACUCAUCAUCUCUGUUAACUAAGAAGUAUGAGACAUAAUUUUGAACUCGGACAGAGAACAACUACAUAUAAUUGAGAAUAUAAAGAGUCUAGAAAAAAUCUUGCAGCUAUUUACAAAAGCCUUUCUUCAAUGGCAUCUUGUAAGAAAGACUGUCACUGAUAAUUUGAACCGUUUCUGUCUUUCAGUUUUUCCUUUAAAGUGUGAUAUGCUUUUUUCUUUUCCUUCUCAGUUACAUAAAUUUUACGAGGAUUGCUUUCCUUGCCUCAUAAUUCUGUAUACACAUCAGUUGAAAAGCAUGCGAGAACGUGGGCUGAAUGUGGCCCAGUGGUUAUCAUGCCACAUUGUGGAGCUGAGGUUCAUGUCCCAUUACCACCAAAAUACAAAGAAUUGUGCUCUAUACUUUUGGUCCAUGAAUGUAUAAUCAGAUUAAUGGUCAAAUCCCACUAUUCAAUCUGAAAAUAGCAACCCCAGAAUUGACAUUGGGUGGGGCUGACUAGCUGCCUUUCCUUUAGUCUGUUACUUCAAAAUUCAGGACGGAUGGUCUUCACAUAUCUUUAUGCAAAAUCAAACAAACAAUCAAGAAACAUAAGUUGAGCAAAUGGGAGAAUAGCUGAGAAAGAUAUUGCUUUUCUAGUGUGAGGGAUGGUGGGAAAUGUUUAUGAUGUUACCCUAUCAUACAUAUGUCUGGGGUUACAGGUAGAUGUCGGGUGCUGGAGAAUGACCUAUGUGUACAGGAGUUGUGUAACAAUGUGGUUGUUUUCUUUUGUAGUUGUUGUUUUUACCUACAUAUACAGCUGUGAUGUAACAAUAUUGUUGUUCUUCUGGAUUUUGUGACCUACAUGCAUGGGUGUGACAUAACAAUAUCGUGGUUCUCCUGGUUUUCGUGACCUACAUGUAUAGGUGUGAUAUAAAAAUAUCGUGGUUCUCCUGGUUUUCGUGAUCUACAUGUAUAGGUGUGAUAUAAAAAUAUCGUGGUUCUCCUGGUUUUCGUGACCUACAUGUAUAGGUGUGAUAUAACAAUAUCGUUGUUCUCGUGACCUACAUGUAUCGGUGUAUUAUAACAAUGUUGUUGUUCUCUUGGUUUUCGUGAUCUACACGUAUAGGUGUAAUAUAACAAUAUCGUCGUUUCCUGGUUUUCGUGACCUACAUGUAUAGGUGUGAUAUAAAAAAUAUCGUUGUUUUUUUUUGGUAAAAGCUUAACUUUCAUUUGGCUUACUUUGUCCUCAUUAAUCUAGUAGGUGUUCCUAUGAAGCCUUCACUCUAUUUGUUUAUUUGUUAUUGAAUUUUGUGCAAAGCAACUCAAGACCAUCAGCUCUAUCCCUCACUAAUUUUGAAGUGAUAGAUUAGAGGGGAAAGCAUCUACUGAACAGUACCAACUCUUGGGAUACUCUUUGCCAAUGAAAAUUGGGAUUGAUCAUCCCAAUAUAAUGCUCCCAUGCUGAAAAGGUGAGAAUGUUUGGUGAUGGGUUUUAAUCGCACAACCCACAGAUUGGGAGUUGAACUCCAUAACCAGUGAAGUAUUGCUCAAAAAAUAUUUCAUAACUUGUAUUAAUGAAAGGUAGAAGUAUAUAAAAAAGGACAGUUUGUUAAGUUUAUUUAAAAAAGCAAGUCUUACAUUCUGUUUUCACUAGUUUAUACAUAUAUAUGUGCAGUUGACAGGCAUAUAUUUUAAGUUUAUAUGAAUAAUGCAGUAGGAAAAUUCUAUACUUUAAAUUAAAUGACAAAUUAAUAUUUUCACAUUGUACUCUUAGUUUCUUUUUCUAUGCUUGCUUAUACAGUUAUGCAAAAUAACCAAGUUUAUUUAAAAUCUUUAAAAUCCCAGGAAGUUUAACGUUUGUAUUUCUUGUCUGAAAUUAACUUUUAAGUAGCAAACUGCUGAAUAGAAAUUGCUUAUCUUUAUUUGUUAUAAAAGAAAUAUUAAAGUUGUUGUUAUAGUUUUAUUUAAUUAUUCCUCAGAGUUGCCAAAAUCAGAAUAUUUCCAAUCAAUAAUUUAAAUUUUUUACCACUUAGAAGUUUAUUAGUUGCUCUUAUUUAUGGUUACGUGUUUGUCUCCGAUUAAUGAAAGAAUUGAGAUGGUUGCUUAAACAAUUGUGAGAAUGCUUAUGAAAUAGCCCUGUUUAUGAAUUAUGUGCAUUACCAUUUUUUAGUUUUUUGAUAAUCUAUAUUUAAACAAUGAAUUUAAUCAAGAAUAGAAUGCACAGUGAGGCUAUAUAACCUCACUGAUCACUUUCGUCAAUGGUUCAGAGGUUAACUUGAAGGCUUAUGAUACAAAGAAUUGGUGUUCAAUCUUUCCAGUGGGCAUAGCAUAGACAGCCCAUUGUGCAGCUUUAGAAUAAAAGAAACGAAUCUCCUAAAAGAAUUCAACUGCUGAAUGUUUCUACUGAUUCUAAAACUACCUGUCCUCACUCUCACGUUUCAUUCUUCUUUUUAAAAUGUUUAGUGCAUCACAUUUUGUUGCACUUGUUUAUAAAAUAAAAGUCACUGAGUUAAUCUUUUUUUUCUUGAACUACUUGGAAAGUUAUUGGUGUGAAUUAUAUUAACUUAUUUAAACACGAGUUAAUAUUUUGACAGAAUAUUACAAUUAUAGUUGUUAAACAAACGUAGGAUUUGAAAUGAUCUUGAAAAAAUAGUUACAGAAGAAGUUAAAGUUAUAUUGGUUAUUUUUAGAUAAAUGUUUUAUUAGUCAAAUGGGAAUUAUUUUUUUCCCCUGACAUUGUGUUAAAUCUAAGAAUAACUCGGCGUGAAUAAUCUUUUUCUCAUUUUUAAUCAGUUAUGGAAUUAUUCAAAUAUAGUGGAUCAUGACAUUAUUACUUGAACAUUGAAAGACAAAUGUUUUUUUCGGCAUGGAUUAAAAUUAUAAAAAAGUGUUUUAAGAUUUAAUCUGUCCCUUCCUCAGAUUUUGCUAGAUUUACGUUUUAUUCUUUAUUUUUAAUUACAGACACGUGUCAUUCCCUGAAACUACGCAGUUGUGUUCUAAUAUGUUUCAUUGAGGGUUUUAAGUUACUAGCCUAAAAAUGUUAUUAACAUUGAAAUUAAUUAAAGACGUACAUUGUGGAUAUAAAGUUAUUUACAUAGUGUUGUGUUUAGAUAUUAUUUCAGUCUCAACACCCGGAAGUCAUGAAAACUAGUUUGAAACAAUAUAAAAUGUUUGUUCUUGUUUAUAAAAUCUCAAACGUAUUUUCAAUUUAUUAGAUAAUUUAGUCCAAGAUGGACGGCUAUAUAUUACUAAUGUUGUUUAUAUUCGGAAUGCAGCAUUGAAUUAAAAAAAAAUUGAAAUAACACUACGAUAAUGUUAGCAAAUUCAUUUGAGCGUUGUCAUCUAUACUGCUGACGUCAUCAUCACCAUAUGCGUUUGGAAUAAACAAAGACCGUCUUUUGGUAUGUUAAUAUAUCAUCUAACUUCCAUAGAACAUUAGACACAUACAAUCACAUCAGAUUACGUUAAAGUUGUUUGGGCUACAUUCGGUCUCUUACC